This 1448-nucleotide ribosomal RNA is filed under the name uncultured prokaryote. RNAcentral's name for it is "partial 16S ribosomal RNA". It matches the Rfam family "Bacterial small subunit ribosomal RNA". The record is from RNAcentral.
AACGCUAGCGGCAGGCCUAAUACAUGCAAGUCGAACGGUAAGGUCUCUUCGGAGAUACACGAGUGGCGCACGGGUGAGUAACGCGUAUGCAACCUACCUAUAACUGGGGAAUAGCCCUUCGAAAGGAGGAUUAAUACCCCAUAAUGUUUCUAAGAGGCAUCUCUUAGUUCCUAAAACUCCGGUGGUUAUAGAUAGGCAUGCGUGACAUUAGUUUGUUGGUGAGGUAAUGGCUCACCAAGACUACGAUGUCUAGGGGGUCUGAGAGGAUGAUCCCCCACACUGGUACUGAGACACGGACCAGACUCCUACGGGAGGCAGCAGUAAGGAAUAUUGGGCAAUGGAGGAAACUCUGACCCAGCCAUGCCGCGUGUAGGAUUGAAGGUCCUCGAGAUUGUAAACUGCUUUUAUAUGGGAAGAAACACCACUACGUGUAGAGGUUUGACGGUACCAUAAGAAUAAGGACCGGCUAACUCCGUGCCAGCAGCCGCGGUAAUACGGAGGGUCCAAGCGUUAUCCGGAUUUAUUGGGUUUAAAGGGUCCGUAGGCGGGAGAAUAAGUCAGUGGUGAAAUCCUGCAGCUCAACUGCAGAACUGCCUUUGAUACUGCUUAUCUUGAGUAUGGUUGAAGUGGGCGGAAUGUGUCAUGUAGCGGUGAAAUGCAUAGAUAUGACACAGAACACCGAUAGCGAAGGCAGCUCACUAAACUGAUACUGACGCUGAGGCACGAAAGCGUGGGGAGCGAACAGGAUUAGAUACCCUGGUAGUCCACGCCGUAAACGAUGAUUACUCGAUGUGUGCAAUAUACAGUACGCGUCCUAGCGAAAGCGUUAAGUAAUCCACCUGGGGAGUACGAUCGCAAGAUUGAAACUCAAAGGAAUUGACGGGGGCCCGCACAAGCGGUGGAGCAUGUGGUUUAAUUCGAUGAUACGCGAGGAACCUUACCUGGGCUUAAAUGUAGAACGACAGAUUGGGAAACCAGUCCUUCUUCGGACGAUCUACAAGGUGCUGCAUGGCCGUCGUCAGCUCGUGCCGUGAGGUGUUGGGUUAAGUCCCAUAACGAGCGCAACCCCUAUCUCUAGUUGCCAGCGGGUAAUGCCGGGGACUCUAGAGAAACUGCCUACGCAAGUAGUGAGGAAGGCGGGGAUGACGUCAAGUCAGCACGGCCCUUACGUCCAGGGCUACACACGUGCUACAAUGGUCGGUACAAAGGGCAGCUACCUGGUGACAGGAUGCUAAUCUCUAAAGCCGAUCUCAGUUCGGAUCGAAGUCUGCAACUCGACUUCGUGAAGUUGGAAUCGCUAGUAAUCGCGCAUCAGCCAUGGCGCGGUGAAUACGUUCCCGGGCCUUGUACACACCGCCCGUCAAGCCAUGGAAGCCGGGGGUACCUGAAGUCAGUAACCGCAAGGAGCUGCCUAGGGUAAAACUGGUAACUGGGGCUAAGUCGUAACA